This 74-nucleotide transfer RNA is filed under the name Aquabacterium sp. RNAcentral's name for it is "tRNA-His". It matches the Rfam family "tRNA". From Rfam's summary of the family: Transfer RNA (tRNA) molecules are approximately 80 nucleotides in length. Their secondary structure includes four short double-helical elements and three loops (D, anti-codon, and T loops). Lineage: Bacteria; Pseudomonadati; Pseudomonadota; Betaproteobacteria; Burkholderiales; Sphaerotilaceae. The record is from RNAcentral.
GUGGCCGUAGCUCAAUGGCAGAGCCGCGGGCUGUGAUCCCGCUGGUGCCGGUUCGAUCCCGGCCGGCCACCCCC